RNAcentral lists this ribosomal RNA (450 nucleotides) under uncultured bacterium. RNAcentral describes it as "partial 16S ribosomal RNA". It matches the Rfam family "Bacterial small subunit ribosomal RNA", at positions 354 to 796 of the family's 1533-position model. The record is from RNAcentral.
GUGGGGAAUAUUGGACAAUGGGCGAAAGCCUGAUCCAGCCAUGCCGCGUGUGUGAAGAAGGUCUUCGGAUUGUAAAGCACUUUAAGUUGGGAGGAAGGGCAGUAAGUUAAUACCUUGCUGUUUUGACGUUACCGACAGAAUAAGCACCGGCUAACUUCGUGCCAGCAGCCGCGGUAAUACGAAGGGUGCAAGCGUUAAUCGGAAUUACUGGGCGUAAAGCGCGCGUAGGUGGUUUUGGAAGUUGGAGGUGAAAUCCCCGGGCUCAACCUGGGAACUGCCUCCAAAACUGCAUGACUAGAGUACGGUAGAGGGUAGUGGAAUUUCCUGUGUAGCGGUAAAAUGCGUAGAUAUAGGAAGGAACACCAGUGGCGAAGGCGACUACCUGGACUGAUACUGACACUGAGGUGCGAAAGCGUGGGGAGCAAACAGGAUUAGAAACCCCAGUAGUCC